CUGUCUAAAAAUAAAUUCUUUUCGUAAUAUAACAAAAUUUUUCAAAUUUUUCUUCACUAUUUUAUUUCUGUUCUAUUUCAUCCCCUCUUGAAAUUCUCCUACAAGUCUUGAAAAUGCUUUUCCUUCGGUGCAGUCUUUUCGAAGUCAUUCUGUUCCUUUUCCUUAGGGAACUUUCACCCAAUUUUCCGAAUCCUUUGAAAAUUUCUCCUUCGAUUUUCUACUUCAGUUAAUUUUCGAGUCGAAACGUAUUUUCACCCCACCAUCGAAACCCCGAAGGAAAAUUAAAUUAUUAAUAAAUCUUCUGAAGGUUUCUUUUUCUUAAAUUGCCUUUGUUUUCUGCUUCAUCCGAAAGAUAUCUUCUUGGAAACAAAUAACCAGAAAAAACCAUCUUGUCAGUCGGUCAAUUAACCUCGGUUGCAGAUCUCUAGAAAGCUACGACCCACUUGUGACCCGUACUAUAAUGUCCUGGUGUGUUCCUUUAGCAGCAUCUAAAGUACAUUCGGUUUCCGACAAGAUGAUGGAUAGAGGACCAUCUCGUCUGUUAGUGGCUCACCCCCUGUCGACAGAACGAGGUGUGGCGAGGAAAAGCUGUCAUCGCCAACUCUAACUUAAACCAGUUGUGUUUGUUUGGAAUGUCAGCUUUUUCUUGUAAGAAACAAUUAUCCACCAUCGAGAUCUUGUCAAAAUCGUUUUCUGAAUUACCAAAAGUUACGCCCUCCAGAUGGUGCAGUCUACUUCUUAACAGAAUGUUUUCGGAAGGGAACGUUAUUAUUAUAAACUCAAACUUAGAUCCAUUAAGUAGAAAAAUAGAAACUGCAAGAAGAGAGUGUUCUUCUGGAUACUUUUGCUAUUGCAGCGUUUAAAGAGAUGAUUUGUAUAAGUAUUGACGAAGCGCUUAAUGGUGCUUCCUCUAGAGAAAACGAAUAUUCUAGGAGACGUGUAGGUGUGCCAAUGUUUGCACUAUCUCUACCUCCUCCAGAUCAAGGAAAACAGGAGAACGUAUAUUUGUUCUUUUUGGAAACCUUCUCCCGAUUAAAAAGUUCUGCCAAUUCUAUUUCGAGAAACCUCAUUUUAUUUAAAAAAAAAAAAUUUAAAAAAAUGCGUGGUUACAUUGUCGUGUUGUCUUUCAAUUUAUGUUAAACUUAAGAUUAUGUUUUGCGUAAUUAUCGCGGUGGAAUAGGUGCAAUAUCCGGAUUUCGGGGUGUAAAUCGAUAUGGCGUAACUAAUGUGCCUAUAUGUGCGUGUGUGCCAUCGGAUUUAAAAGCCAAAAAAUGAAUUUAAAAAAGUGCUGCUCUCAUAUUAUUAUUUUUUUCCGUUCUAUUUUUAUUAAGCUAACAAUUGUUGGUUGGUUAAAAAGAAAAAAAAAGCAUUAAAAUUCAUAAUACCGCACUGUUAGUCUACUAUAAGGCAUAUAUAGGUAGAAUGGCGAUUGCACGUUUUACAAGAUUUUACGGAUAAAAAAUCCAUUUUGGGAAUUUGCAUUUUGUGAUUUAUCACCAUUUGCGAGCGUGCUCUAUGCACUUUUAUAGUUUUAUUUUAUUCUCUGGGCGAAUUGAGUUUGUUUGUAAAUGGAUCAUCCACUUAACUCUGCUCUUGACGAUACACGAGAAGAGCGAAGAUUAAAGAGGGUGCAACGAAGGAAAAAAAGGAAUAAAAAAUGCAAAGAGGAGGAUUAUAUUGAAAGUUUGUCGCUUUGUCAGAUAUUAUAUGUCAUCGAUUAGCACCUUGACUGCCAUCCAACAGAUUUAUAAUGGAUUUUCUAUUCUUCUCUUGAGAAUUCUGUGCAUAUUUGUAUAUAAUUUUUUUAAUUCUCUCUUUUUGCAAACUAAUUUGUUACUGAU
This 1841-nucleotide long non-coding RNA is filed under the name Androctonus crassicauda. The record is from RNAcentral. Lineage: Eukaryota; Metazoa; Arthropoda; Arachnida; Scorpiones; Buthidae.